RNAcentral lists this ribosomal RNA (429 nucleotides) under Acidobacteriota bacterium. Its description in RNAcentral is "Acidobacteria bacterium partial 16S ribosomal RNA". It matches the Rfam family "Bacterial small subunit ribosomal RNA", at positions 355 to 776 of the family's 1533-position model. Lineage: Bacteria; Pseudomonadati; Acidobacteriota. The record is from RNAcentral.
UGGGGAAUUUUGGACAAUGGGGGAAACCCUGAUCCAGCCAUCCCGCGUGUGCGAUGAAGGCCUUCGGGUUGUAAAGUACUUUUGGCAGGAAAGAAACGUCAUGGGUUAAUACCCCGUGAAACUGACGGUACCUGCAGAAUAAGCACCGGCUAACUACGUGCCAGCAGCCGCGGUAAUACGUAGGGUGCAAGCGUUAAUCGGAAUUACUGGGCGUAAAGCGUGCGCAGGCGGUUCGGAAAGAAAGAUGUGAAAUCCCAGAGCUCAACUUUGGAACUGCAUUUUUAACUACCGGGCUAGAGUGUGUCAGAGGGAGGUGGAAUUCCGCGUGUAGCAGUGAAAUGCGUAGAUAUACGGAGGAACACCGAUGGCGAAGGCAGCCUCCUGGGAUAACACUGACGAUCAUGCACGAAAGCGUGGGGAGCAAACAGG